RNAcentral lists this ribosomal RNA (467 nucleotides) under uncultured bacterium. RNAcentral's name for it is "SSU rRNA". It matches the Rfam family "Bacterial small subunit ribosomal RNA", at positions 26 to 518 of the family's 1533-position model. The record is from RNAcentral.
AGGAUAAACGCUGGCGGCGUGCCUAACACAUGCAAGUCGAACGCCCUUGAGCAAUCAAGGGAGUGGCGGACGGGUGAGUAACACGUGGGUACCUACCCCAAGGUGAGGAAUACCGGCGAGAAAUCGCCGACAAUACCGCAUAGGCUUCGUAAGAAGCAAAGCUCGCAAGGGCGCCAUGGGAAGGGCCUGCGGCCGAUUAGCUGGUUGGUGAGGUAAAAGCUCACCAAGGCGACGAUCGGUAGCUGGUCUGAGAGGAUGAUCAGCCACACUGGGAUUGAGAACGGCCCAGACUCCUACGGGGGGCAGCAGUGAGGAAUCUUGCACAAUGGACGAAAGUCUGAUGCAGCAACGCCGCGUGGGGGAUGAAGCUUCUCGGAGUGUAAACCCCUUUCGACCCGGAAGAAUGCCCGCAAGGGUAUGACGGUACGGGUAUAAGAAGCCCCGGCUAACUACGUGCCAGCAGCCGC